Non-coding RNA from Myodes glareolus (Bank vole), 1632 nucleotides. Lineage: Eukaryota; Metazoa; Chordata; Mammalia; Rodentia; Cricetidae. The record is from RefSeq and is a predicted model, not a curated record.
CACAUAAGAUUUUUUUAAAAGAAUCUUAAAAAUAAAAGACCCUAACAGAAACAACAACAACACCUAAACAAAACAAACAACAAAACAAGUAACUACAGUCUUCAAUGGCUGCAGAGAUUGUAGCACUUAGACAAAAAAACACUAAUGCAACACAUUGACUUUGAACUCUGAAAAUGGAGCACAAUUCACGUGGGAGAACGGAAGGGGUGAGGGAAGACGAACAGAAGAGAGCCGCAGAGCCCAUCACGACACCUGGCUUGUUUGGGAAUCUCCAGAACUGAAGAGGAGGUCAAGAGGUGAACAUAGACCUCAAGCAACUGAUAAGCUCAUACUCAAAGGUCAGCACACUGACAAUAAAGAGAAACCAAAGCCCCAAGUCUGCUAAGUGCUUCCCUACUGCAGAAGGCCCUGGCCCCCUCUUACCGACCUGGUUGUGGCUGUGACAAUCCAAGAGGUCAUUGCUGAUAUAGGCUUGCAGGACCGUCUCCCUCUGCUCUCCAGGAUGGGACGUGGUCAAGCGCUGCAAAGAAAAACCAAAUAACAAACUCCUACAGAAGCAAGAGCUAGCCCCUGAAAGGAAAAGCUUAAACAAACACCCUGAGGCUCAGAAUUUGCCAUCUGAGGACAAGCAUGGUGUGCUUGGAAUACCCUAGUUUGCAGCACAAAGGCCAGAGCCAACAGACACAACACACAGGAGGAAGGAGAGGUCUUCAGGGGGAGGAAGAUGUUGCUGGCUGAUCUGAUCACCACUGAAGAGGGGACUGCUAAAGGAUUGUGCCAAGAAUGUCACAUGAGGGAAUUCCUGUGGAGCCAAGAGGCUGGAUGGGGCCCUGGAGAAGAAAACAGGCAAAGCCACUAACACCUACAUGCCUUCCUGAUUAUCUGGUUAAGAUGCCUGCUUUCUCCCAGCAAGAGGCCCAGGGAGUGGGCCCAUUGAGCCAGUGCUGAGUGGCAAACUCAGGCAACUGGGUGAGUGUGGUAACACAAACAGACACAAGUAAACCAGGGUUGGGGCAGCUCUUGAUGAUCACUCAGGCUGCCCACCCACCCUGGUCAGAAAGCCCCUACAAACAGAACAGGUACCGGGAGUUCUCCCCUUGGGCCCCAAGAAUUCCUCAUAGUUCCCAAUCAGGCAGAGUCCAGGAAGCACCACCAGAUGCUAAGUACCAGUGAGGACUGUUUCCACUCAAAGGUAGGGAAGCUGCUCAAAGAAUUCUGGUACCAGUGGAUCCUGAAAUAUGGGGGCCCACAAAGAAGCUUGACACUACGUUAUCGUGAGUUAGAAUACUCUGUUUGGUGAAAGGCUUUGAUCAGUAAUUCUCAAAGCUCUGGGCACCCCCCAAACUCUCGGAAUUGGAGGGGACAUGACUAUUUUCACACUGACUACACUAAGAUGCAUUCUGCCAUGCUUCUGACCACUUUCUCAGACUGUGUAGGUGUGACACUCGGAAGCCUAACAUAAAAGCAGGGUCUGAGAACCCAGGGCUCCUCCUUGGGGGGCACACAAUGAAGAGAUGAACAACGCCACUCUGCACACAUUUGGUUUGUUGUUUGAAAACCAGUUAUUGCUAUUUAUGUUAAUGUGUCAUUUAUUUAUUUUACAGGGAAUGAUAAAUUCUUAAUUUUUCUGUU